This 207-nucleotide ribosomal RNA is filed under the name uncultured bacterium. Its description in RNAcentral is "partial 16S ribosomal RNA". It matches the Rfam family "Bacterial small subunit ribosomal RNA", at positions 568 to 774 of the family's 1533-position model. The record is from RNAcentral.
CACGCAGGCGGUUUGGCAAGUCGGAUGUGAAAACCCGGAGCUCAACUCCGGGCCUGCAUCCGAUACUGCCCGACUAGAGGUAGGUAGGGGAGAUCGGAAUUCCUGGUGUAGCGGUGAAAUGCGCAGAUAUCAGGAGGAACACCGGUGGCGAAGGCGGAUCUCUGGGCCUUACCUGACGCUCAGGUGCGAAAGCUAGGGGAGCAAACA